GAGUUUGAUCGUGGCUCAGGAUUAACGCUGGCGGUAUGCCUAACACAUGCAAGUCGAACGAGCUCUUCGGAGCUAGUGGCGGACGGGUGAGUAACACGUUGGAACCUACCCCGAAGUGGGGAAUAACUGGCCGAAAGGUCGGCUAAUACCCCAUAGUCUUAUGUUUAUCAUAAGUAAAGAUUUAUCGCUUCGGGAGGGGCCUGCGCAACAUUAGCUAGUUGGUGAGGUAAAAGCUCACCAAGGCGACGAUGUUUAGCUGGAUCGAGAGGUUGACCAGCCACACUGGGACUGAGAUACGGCCCAGACUCCUACGGGAGGCAGCAGUGAGGAAUCUUCCACAAUGGGGGAAACCCUGAUGGAGCAAUACCGCGUGCAGGAAGACGCUUUUCGGAGUGUAAACUGCUUUUUAUAGUUGAAGAUUAUGACGGUAAACUAUGAAUAAGGAUCGGCUAACUACGUGCCAGCCACCGCAGU
RNAcentral lists this ribosomal RNA (474 nucleotides) under uncultured bacterium. RNAcentral describes it as "bacterial SSU rRNA". It matches the Rfam family "Bacterial small subunit ribosomal RNA", at positions 9 to 521 of the family's 1533-position model. The record is from RNAcentral.